GAUGAAGAACGUAGCAAAAUGCGAUAAGUAAUGUGAAUUGCAGAAUUCAGUGAAUCAUCGAAUCUUUGAACGCACAUUGCGCCCGCCAGUAUUCUGGCGGGCAUGCCUGUUCGAGCGUCAUUUCAACCCUCAAGCACAGCUUGGUGUUGGGACUCGCGUUAAUUCGCGUUCCCCAAAUUGAUUGGCGGUCACGUCGAGCUUCCAUGGCGUAGUAGUAAAACCCUCGUUACUGGUAAUCGUCGCGGCCACGCCGUUAAACCCCAACUUCUGAAUGUUGACCUCGGAUCAGGUAGGAAUACCCGCUGAACUUAAGCAUAUCAAUAAGCGGAGGA
This 332-nucleotide unclassified non-coding RNA is filed under the name soil metagenome. Its description in RNAcentral is "partial contains 5.8S ribosomal RNA, internal transcribed spacer 2, and large subunit ribosomal RNA". The stretch from base 1 to 120 matches the Rfam family "5.8S ribosomal RNA", at positions 35 to 154 of the family's 154-position model. The record is from RNAcentral.